CCGCUUGCAGGUAAACAGAUGGACCCACGAAGUCCUGUUGAGUGAGAGAUUCAUAUCUUUCGAAAGGCGGUGAGAGUAGAUUUUUGUUCCUAGUGGAUGAUGCUAUUCUCACGCAGUCGAUUGAAAGAUGCAUUUCUCUUGCUCACGCUGGAGCUCUGACGGCUUCUUUGACUUUAACUGCUUAUGGCAGCUAUUGAUUGUGGUUGAAUUUUCGGAUUCAUCUCACUUUCUUUGGCGGUUAAGUUAAGUUAAAUGGAGUCGGUGAAUUGCCUAUUUUUGUAGGUGUUUUCAGGUUGAUGGUGUUGGGUAGGUGUCAAGCAUGUUGUAUAAGGACUUUUCGUUUCUUGUAAGUGAAAACCUUUAUACGUAUAUGUUUAAGUACAUCUCACUCUUCACCAAUCAUCAAUCCAGAGUAAGUAGGUCGGUCAUCCAUCUGACCCGUCUUGAAACACGGACCAAGGAGCCCAACAUUAGCGCGAGUCGCUCGGUCUUGCAUAGGCCAGAGAGGCGAAAUAAACAUAAUGGUGUGAUCAUUCACUCUCCUCGGAGACGAAUGCGCAACACCAACCUGCUUAUCUUGCCUUUUGUCAGGAAAGCGGAGUUUGAGCGUUAAUGUUGGUACCCGAAAGAUGGUGAACUAUACUUGGGCAAGACGAAGCCAGAGGAAACUCUGGUGGAGGUCUGUAGCGAUUCUGACGUGCAAAUCGAUCGUCAGACCUGAGUAUAGGGGCGAAAGACUAAUCGAACCAUCUAGUAGCUGGUUCCUUCCGAAGUUUCCCUCAGGAUAGCUGGCACUAAUAUAGCUCUGUAGCACCCGGUAAAGCGAAUGAUUAGAGGUCUUGGGAUCGAAACGAUCUCAACCUAUUCUCAAACUUUAAAUGGGUGCGAAGCUUGACUUUUUUGGAGUAAAGUCUUGCUUUUGUAAGAGUAGUGCCAAGUGGGCCAUUUUUGGUAAGCAGAACUGGCGCUGUGGGAUGAACCAAACGCAGAGUUAAGGCACCAAAUGCCGACGCUCAUGAGACCCCAUGAAAGGUGUUGGUUGCUAUAGACAGC
This 1053-nucleotide ribosomal RNA is filed under the name Sperchonopsis verrucosa. RNAcentral describes it as "partial large subunit ribosomal RNA". It matches the Rfam family "Eukaryotic large subunit ribosomal RNA", at positions 405 to 1241 of the family's 3401-position model. Lineage: Eukaryota; Metazoa; Arthropoda; Arachnida; Trombidiformes; Sperchontidae. The record is from RNAcentral.